This 699-nucleotide ribosomal RNA is filed under the name uncultured bacterium. RNAcentral describes it as "bacterial SSU rRNA". It matches the Rfam family "Bacterial small subunit ribosomal RNA", at positions 64 to 776 of the family's 1533-position model. The record is from RNAcentral.
GAACAAGGAUUCGUCUGAGGGAAGUUGGGGAAAGUGGCGGACGGGUGAGUAACGCGUGAGCAAUCUGCCUUGGAGUGGGGAAUAACGGCUGGAAACAGCCGCUAAUACCGCAUGAUGCAUUUGGACCGCAUGGUCUGGGUGCCAAAGAUUUAUCGCUCUGAGAUGAGCUCGCGUCUGAUUAGCUGGUUGGCGGGGUAACGGCCCACCAAGGCGACGAUCAGUAGCCGGACUGAGAGGUUGGCCGGCCACAUUGGGACUGAGACACGGCCCAGACUCCUACGGGAGGCAGCAGUGGGGAAUAUUGGGCAAUGGGCGCAAGCCUGACCCAGCAACGCCGCGUGAAGGAAGAAGGCUUUCGGGUUGUAAACUUCUUUUCUGAGGGACGAAGGAAGUGACGGUACCUCAGGAAUAAGCCACGGCUAACUACGUGCCAGCAGCCGCGGUAAUACGUAGGUGGCAAGCGUUAUCCGGAUUUAUUGGGUGUAAAGGGCGUGUAGGCGGGAAUGCAAGUCAGAUGUGAAAACUAUGGGCUUAACCCAUAGCCUGCUUUUGAAACUGUUUUUCUUGAGUGAAGUAGAGGCAAGCGGAAUUCCUAGUGUAGCGGUGAAAUGCGUAGAUAUUAGGAGGAACACCAGUGGCGAAGGCGGCUUACUGGACUGUAACUGACGUUGAGGCUCGAAAGCGUGGGGAGCAAACAGG